RNAcentral lists this ribosomal RNA (253 nucleotides) under uncultured bacterium. Its description in RNAcentral is "partial 16S ribosomal RNA". It matches the Rfam family "Bacterial small subunit ribosomal RNA", at positions 524 to 776 of the family's 1533-position model. The record is from RNAcentral.
UACGGAGGGUGCGAGCGUUAUCCGGAUUCACUGGGUUUAAAGGGUGCGUAGGUGGGCAGGUAAGUCAGUGGUGAAAUCUCCGGGCUUAACCCGGAAACUGCCAUUGAUACCAUCAGUCUUGAAUACCGUGGAGGUAAGCGGAAUAUGUCAUGUAGCGGUGAAAUGCUUAGAUAUGACAUAGAACACCGAUAGCGAAGGCAGCUUGCUACACGAUCAUUGACACUGAGGCACGAAAGCGUGGGGAUCAAACAGG